Molecule: RNA transcript, 2232 nt
Organism: Pomacea canaliculata
Lineage: Eukaryota; Metazoa; Mollusca; Gastropoda; Architaenioglossa; Ampullariidae
Exons: 11
Source: RefSeq, a predicted model, not a curated record
CACUCACUCAUUCACUUUGUGAGAAACUGAUGACGAGAGAGGUUUAGUUCCCGGGAUGAAAUGUCUCCUGUGCAGUGGAUUAUAAUAACUCAUGAACACAUUUGAAGGCAGUUCGUAUCUGUACUCGCGCACAUGCCAGCUGCACCAAAUCAACAAGUCUACUCGUGUCUACAGAUAAAAUAUUCCAUGGAUCUCUGGAUACUGUGGACGUUUUUUGCUGUUUCCUUACUCGCCAAAGAGGGCUGUUCAGAGUUCACUAUCGGUGGUUGCGAAGAGGGUCGUGUAGAUGUUGUUGAAGACAGGACUUAUUCAUUCACGUGCGACUCAUACACCAGCUGGGGACCAGAGUGGACGGUUUAUGGUGAUAAAGGAAAACUCCUUUAUCGCGGGUCUUGCCAACAAAGGUCUUGUACUCCUUGGAAUGAUCAGUUUUCUGUAGGCGAAAAGUAUCAAUUACAGUACCACGGUUCCAGUUACUACACUUCCAGUCUUAUCAUAAAAGACAUCAAGAGGGAUUCAGCUCGAUUGUUAUACUGCAUCAGUUCAUUGGAAUCUACAAUGUGCAAAUUAAGAAUAAUUGCUACCCCGGUGUAUAGAGACUGCAGUGUACGUAUUUCAAACUGGAUGGUGACCGGAAGCUGCACAUUGACAAAGAUGUAUUCUUCAGACAACAACUAUUAUUGCAAAUGGAGGGAGAGUGGGAACAACAAUGAGGAAUUUGGAGAUUUCCAAACUCAACCAGUUCCCUACAAAGGAUGGAACUCGAGAGAGUAUACUACUGGGGUUUGUUCUUUCGCUAAGCCAACGCCUCUCAUCCGUGGGUUGUAUACAUACAAUAUGAGAGUGUUGCCAGGCGAUGUUCAUUUUCAGCAAACAAUAAAUAUAGGUGAGCCAUAUCAGGUAAAACUUACCCACAGUUGUCCAGAGUAUGUAUUCGAAGAAUCAAGUAUAAACUGUUCAUGCUCUGCUUCAAGAGAUGUAACUCCACCAGCACUACUGGUGUGGGAAGGAAGGAAUGAUGUAAAACUUUUACUCACAAAUAUAAGCCGGCAGCAGGAUCAAGAACAAUUCACAUGUCAACUAAAAUGGGGUCCAGACGGCUCCAUUAAAGAAAACAUGUCCUACAGACUUACUGUUGCCUGGAACAAGCAAGCAAAUACACCUCGGACUAAUGCGGGGGUAAUUGGUGGAGUUAUUGCAGCUGUACUAGCACUCAUUAUUGUUGCAGGUUUGAUUGUGUACAUCAUCAAAAAAAGAAAAGGGAUCCUAGACAGAGAAUGGAGCUUCUUGAGAGUUUUCUCUCGCGCUCGCAAACUUUUUAACCAGAGACCUGUGACGCCAUUAGCUGUCAUCAAGAAGCCACAGACACAGAUAAUGACACAAAUACAGACACAGACGUCGAUUAGAAGACAUGUAUCUCCUUCAGGCGACACAGCAAGUUCAGGUCACGUGACGGAUGACUAUGCAGUGGUCUAUAAAAAGUCGUUCAACAACACCGAUGAUAAUGAGAAUAAUGGAGCCCACCAAGCGAGUCUAAAGAUAAAUGGAGUUGAGAGGCAGACAAUAGUAUUGACACCAACUACAAAGCCUAAGUCAGCUCUAAACACUCAGACGAAAGUCCAAGAUUUGCAUGGCACAGUUUAUAUGAAUGUCACUGAGGUGCCGACUGACUCUGGUUUGGGUGUGUAUCAUGUAGUUCCCUGGGCAACACUGUCUGGAUCACCUGAACCUGACACAAACGAAUAUUCUGUACCAACCACUUCCGAAGAUGAGUACAACGAACUGCAUUUUGAAGAUGAUCGUACCGGACAAGAGGACCAAUCCGAUACCUACCACCAUCUUCAAAUAACAUAAACAUUUGUGUAUGAUUUCUCCGCUGUGGACACUGUCUUUAGAUACAACGACUACAUCAACACCAGUCUCUGCUAACCGAAUCGGUUAAAGGUCCGCCGGAAGUUUCCAUUCAUGUUGUGACCGCUUUGCGCUGAGAAGUGGGAACCCUGAGAAAUACCCAUGUGUAGCGAGCUUGGGAGCGAGUGACACAAUGGUCUCUUUCCGUCUGUUCGAGCUUGCUACAGAACAGGUAAUAGCAAUGCGAACCGGGUGAGCCAGCCAUCCUGCAAAGUACUAACAUUUAGACAAACAUUCACACGCUCACACAUUUUAUGGAAGAGUAAUAAAUCUAUCAUCAGCGGACGUGCGCUCGUGUUUUUGUGUUUGCGUCAGAAUUUC